RNAcentral lists this long non-coding RNA (2972 nucleotides) under Gossypium barbadense (sea-island cotton). RNAcentral's name for it is "long non-coding RNA (GBAR_LNC013066)". Lineage: Eukaryota; Viridiplantae; Streptophyta; Magnoliopsida; Malvales; Malvaceae. The record is from RNAcentral.
GGCAGGCCAUGGGAGACAAAAUAGUUGAAAAGUCAAAAUUAGACAAAAUAGUUUUAUUAUUAACAAAUAAUAAAAAAAAGAAAAAGAAAAAGCUAUCAUUUUUCUAUUCCCCUCCACCGAAAUAUGCAGCAAAGAAAGGGUUUUGAAGCUGGAAAAUUUCAGCAACAUAUUUCCCUUGCUUGUAAGUGAUUUUAAUGUCUUUACUUGAUGAUUUUUGUAUUUUUGGAACCCCUAAAGCAUAAGCUUUCAUAAGAGGGGAUUAUUUUGCAAAAUGAUGAAGAGUCUAAGGUUUUACCAUGAGAGUAAAUGUGUUGUUUGCUGUGUUUUUAUGGAAGAUUAUGAGUCCUAGUUGUCUAAUAAAUAACUUUUGUGAAAUAAAUUGCAUGAAAAUACCUUAAAAGGGGGUAAAUUGCUAAGUUGUAAAAUGAGUUGUAAAUGUGUAAAAUAGUUGAAAUUAUGAGUUGCUAUAGUUAUGAAAAUGGUUCAUCUAGACUCAAGGAGUACAGUAAUGUGAUAAAAAUUAAUUUACGAGCAUUGGGGUAAAAGUGAAAAUAUGUAAAAGUUUAGGGGUCAAAAUAAAAAUUUGUAAAAAUAUGAUUUUUAGACCCAUAUGAAUAUUGUGACUGAUUGGUAGGCUAAAUGUGAUGUUAUAGAUGAUGAAAAUUGAGAUUUGGACCUAGAACGGAAAGAAAUCGAUUUAUGGACGAGUAUGUCUUUUCACCUUUGUGGUAUCGAGGUAAGUUCAUGUGUAAAUAAUGUAGCAUAAUUGUUAUUUUUAAGUUAUUGAUGUUAAAUAUAUGAUAUGCUGAUUUUUAUCAUGAAAUAUAUGCUUUGUGAUUAUUUUCGAAUAAAAUGCAAGUUAUGUGUAUUAUCUGUUAAAUAUAAAGUGCUACCAAGUAUUGGUUUCGGUAUUUUACGGAAGAUGACAAGGAUAUGUGUUCGAGGAAAAUCCCGUUUGAACCUUAGGAAUAGAUUAGGAUACAAGUGACAUGUCACUAGGAUGGUUGAGCAUCCGAACUCGUUGAGUUGAGUCCGAGUUCACUUAUGGAUGCGAAUGUUCGAACUCGUUGAGUUGAGUCUGAGUUCGUAAGAUGUAACUAGGCAUCCGAGCUCGUUGAGUUGAGUCCGAGUUCACUUAUGGAUAAGAACGCCCGAGCUCAUUGAGUUGAGUCUGAGUUCACUUAUGGGCGGGUUACAUGGUAGCUUGGCUACUUAUGUGGCACUUAUGUGCAAACUUUCCAUGUAUCCGAAUUAUAUUCCGAUGUGUUCAACGGGUAAAAUUCUACUCAAAUGGUGAAAUACUCGAGAUGAAAGGGACGUAUUGGUAAAUGUUGUGAAAUGGAUACUUUGAACAGGUAUGUACUUAACCCUUGGGUUGAAAACUCGACAUAACAACAAUAUGGUAAAAUGGUAAAUGAAAAUGUGAUAUGAAUGUCUCGGUGAUGAUUAUACAAACGAUGUUGUAUUAAUUUUGUGAACAAUGAUCAUAAAUGAGUAAUUUAGCCUUGACAGAUUUGAGUUACUGCAGUAGUGUAACUUUGAAAAUACACUAAAAAUAGUGGAAGAUGAGUUAGAGGCAGAAUAAUAUAUGGGAUUAAAGCUCAAUGAGUCUAUUUUCACAUGAAAGAAAUAGGGGAGGAAAAAGAAUUCCAUAUUGUGUGAUAUUUGAAUUCUUGUGAAAUAGGGUCUGAAUGAAUUCGAGAUCCCCUGUCCUAACUUUAGAAAUUCACCAAAAAUUGUAAAAAAAUUAUUAAGAGUUAUAUCUUACAUGCAUAGAUUCCUUAUUAAGUCUAUUUUUAUGGAAAAUAAACGGCAUAGUCGUUGGAAUUUUUUACAGGGAGAAAUUCGGUUUGUAGUGCACAGGGGUCAUAGUGGUCAUACCCUAAAAUAGGGGAGACUUUAACUAAUAAACUGUACUAUUUGGCUUAACCAAAAAUUCUGGAAAUUUUAUGGAAGAAAGGAAAAUAAGACUAGUUUCAGGGAAAAUUAACGGAACUUAAUUCGGAGUUUCGUAGCUCCAGAUAUAAAUAAUUUAGUGACUGUUGCUCAGGAAGACAGCUUGUAGUGAACUUGAGAAUAUGUUGUAAACAUUGAUAAAACAAGUUAAUGAGUUGCUUAUUGUUUUCAUAUGAACUUACUAAGCGAAAGCUUACCCCCCUUCUUUCCCAUGUUUUUUAGAGUUUCCAGGUUAGCUCGGGUUGGAGGCCGUCAGAGAUAUUAUCACCCUAUCGAGUUAACGUUAUCGGAGUAAGUAAAUUCAAGUGAUUCGAGUCUAUGGCAUGUAUAGGGUUUUAAUGUGAGUAUGUAAUAUUAUGAUUUAGCCAAAGGCAUUGGCUUGUUAUUAAGGUAGUAUUAGUUAUGUAAAUUGGCCUAUGUCGUCUAAUAUCGUUAUGGGCCCAUAUGAUUAUUCUUAUGCAUUUAUGUUAUUAUUUCUUGUGAUGUGGCUUACAACAUGUAUGCCUAGAGAUUGAAUUGAGAUUCAUUGAUGAGCUAGUAACUAAUGCAGGAUUAAGUUAUUGGUAAAUAGUUAAUAAUGCUUCAUGAAUGGUUUGUGAUGUAAUGAUAGUUAUGUCUAGUAUGUGGUAAUGAUAUGGGAAAAUUCUAUAAUAUUUAUUGCAUAAGAAAAUAACUUGAGCAUAACAUGUUUGUAGAUGUUUAAGAGCUCAUUUAUGUCACGUUGUAUGUUUUUGGAUAAGUAUGUAUCUAUGCAUAUGGUGUGAGAGUGAUAAAAGGCCUAUUAAUUAGCCUAUUUCUGGCCACACGGCCUGAGCACAUGGGCGUGUGAAGCCUUAACGCAAGAGAUUCUUUUUAAGUUUUUUCAUGAGUUCUCGAUUGGGUCUCGAACCACUCUAGAUGUAUGUUUUGGGCCUCGUAAGCCCGUAUAUGGGACAGAUUGUAUGUGAAAAGAAAAGUUUUUAACUAUUUGAGAUUUCAUGGCCCUGUUUAGUAUGAAAGUGUUAGUAAAAGUCAAG